CGGUUUAUGACAAUUGAUUGCAAAUCAAUAGGUCCCCGGUUCGAGUCCGGGCAGGUGCU
This 59-nucleotide transfer RNA is filed under the name Candida maltosa Xu316. It matches the Rfam family "tRNA", at positions 16 to 71 of the family's 71-position model. From Rfam's summary of the family: Transfer RNA (tRNA) molecules are approximately 80 nucleotides in length. Their secondary structure includes four short double-helical elements and three loops (D, anti-codon, and T loops). Lineage: Eukaryota; Fungi; Ascomycota; Pichiomycetes; Serinales; Debaryomycetaceae. The record is from Rfam by way of RNAcentral.